GACGGAGGGUGCAAGCGUUGUUCGGAAUUACUGGGCGUAAAGGGCGCGUAGGCGGCCGCCUAAGUCAGACGUGAAAUCCCUCGGCUCAACCGGGGAACUGCGUCUGAUACUGGGCGGCUUGAAUCCGGGAGAGGGAUGCGGAAUUCCAGGUGUAGCGGUGAAAUGCGUAGAUAUCUGGAGGAACACCGGUGGCGAAGGCGGCAUCCUGGACCGGUAUUGACGCUGAGGCGCGAAAGCCAGGGGAGCAAACGGG
This 253-nucleotide ribosomal RNA is filed under the name uncultured bacterium. RNAcentral's name for it is "partial 16S ribosomal RNA". It matches the Rfam family "Bacterial small subunit ribosomal RNA", at positions 524 to 776 of the family's 1533-position model. The record is from RNAcentral.